CGAGCGGUAUGGAUAGCUUGCUAUCCAGAGAGCGGCGUACGGGUGCGUAACACGUGUGCAACCUGCCUUUAUCUGGGGGAUAGCCUUUCGAAAGGAAGAUUAAUACCCCAUAAUAUGGUGUCCGGCAUCGGUCGCCAUUGAAAGCCUCGGCGGAUAGAGAUGGGCACGCGCAAGAUUAGAUAGUUGGCGGGGUAACGGCCCACCAAGUCGAUGAUCUUUAGGGGUCCUGAGAGGGAGAUCCCCCACACUGGUACUGAGACACGGACCAGACUCCUACGGGAGGCAGCAGUGAGGAAUAUUGGACAAUGGGUGGAAGCCUGAUCCAGCCAUCCCGCGUGAAGGAUGACGGUUCUAUGGAUUGUAAACUUCUUUUGUACAGGGAUAAACCUGCCCUCGUGAGGGCAGCUGAAGGUACUGUACGAAUAAGCACCGGCUAACUCCGUGCCAGCAGCCGCGGUAAUACGGAGGGUGCGAGCGUUAUCCGGAUUUAUUGGGUUUAAAGGGUCCGUAGGCGGGCCUGUAAGUCAGUGGUGAAAUCUCAUAGCUUAACUAUGAAACUGCCAUUGAUACUGCAGGCCUUGAGUAAAUUUGAAGUGGCUGGAAUAAGUAGUGUAGCGGUGAAAUGCAUAGAUAUUACUUAGAACACCGAUUGCGAAGGCAGGUCACUGAGAUUUAACUGACGCUGAUGGACGAAAGCGUGGGGAGCGAACAGGAUUAGAUACCCUGGUAGUCCACGCCGUAAACGAUGCUAACUCGUUUUUGGAUCUUCGGGUUCAGAGACCAAGCGAAAGUGAUAAGUUAGCCACCUGGGGAGUACGUCCGCAAGGAUGAAACUCAAAGGAAUUGACGGGGGCCCGCACAAGCGGUGGAUUAUGUGGUUUAAUUCGAUGAUACGCGAGGAACCUUACCAAGACUUAAAUGGGAAUUGACAGAUUUAGAAAUAGAUCCUCCUUCGGGCAAUUUUCAAGGUGCUGCAUGGUUGUCGUCAGCUCGUGCCGUGAGGUGUUAGGUUAAGUCCUGCAACGAGCGCAACCCCUGCCAACAGUUGCCAUCAUUCAGUUGGGGACUCUGUUGGGACUGCCUACGCAAGUAGAGAGGAAGGUGGGGAUGACGUCAAAUCAUCACGGCCCUUACGUCUUGGGCCACACACGUAAUACAAUGGCCGGUACAGAGGGCAGCUACCUGGUGACAGGAUGCGAAUCUCGAAAGCCGGUCUCAGUUCGGAUUGGAGUCUGCAACUCGACUCUAUGAAGCUGGAAUCGCUAGUAAUCGCGCAUCAGCCAUGGCGCGGUGAAUACGUUCCCGGGCCUUGUACACACCGCCCGUCAAGCCAUGGAAGUCUGGGGUACCUGAAGUCGGUGACCGU
RNAcentral lists this ribosomal RNA (1366 nucleotides) under uncultured bacterium. RNAcentral's name for it is "bacterial SSU rRNA". It matches the Rfam family "Bacterial small subunit ribosomal RNA", at positions 63 to 1437 of the family's 1533-position model. The record is from RNAcentral.